CGCCAGACUCCUACGGGAGGCAGCAGUGAGGAAUAUUGGUCAAUGGGCGCGAGCCUGAACCAGCCAAGUCGCGUGAGGGAUGACGGUCCUACGGAUUGUAAACCUCUUUUGCCGGGGAGCAAGCGUGCGUUCGUGAACGCGCGUCGAGAGUACCCGGAGAAAAAGCAUCGGCUAACUCCGUGCCAGCAGCCGCGGUAAUACGGAGGAUGCGAGCGUUAUCCGGAUUUAUUGGGUUUAAAGGGUGCGUAGGCGGGAUGCCAAGUCAGCGGUAAAAAUGCGGUGCUCAACGCCGUCGAGCCGUUGAAACUGGCGUUCUUGAGUGGGCGAGAAGUAUGCGGAAUGCGUGGUGUAGCGGUGAAAUGCAUAGAUAUUAGGAGGAACACCAGUGGCGAAGGCGGCUUACUGGACUGUAACUGACGUUGAGGCUCGAAAGCGUGGGGAGCAAACAGGAUUAGAUACCCCAGUA
Molecule: ribosomal RNA, 466 nt
Filed under: uncultured bacterium
Lineage: Bacteria
Description: bacterial SSU rRNA
Rfam family: Bacterial small subunit ribosomal RNA
Source: RNAcentral